Non-coding RNA from Podarcis lilfordi (Lilford's wall lizard), 151 nucleotides. The record is from the annotation of a GenBank genome assembly. NCBI's taxonomy places the organism in Eukaryota, Metazoa, Chordata, Lepidosauria, Squamata, Lacertidae.
UACUGUGAUUAACAAAACAGAUAUUUAUAUGGCAAAACGUUUCCCUUUCCACCUUCGUCAGCUGCUCUGAUUAAAAAAGAAACACACACACUGAUGAAGGCGGAAAUGUUUUGCCACAAAAAUAAAAUCUCUGUUUUGUUAAUCACAGAAA